GAUGAACGCUGGCGGCGUGCCUAACACAUGCAAGUGGAGCGACGAACCUGGCUUCGGCCAGGGGCAAAGCCGCGAACGGGUGAGUAACACGUGGAUUAUCUGCCCCAAUGACCGGGACAACCCGAGGAAACUCGGGCUAAUACCGGAUGUGCUCCUAGGAGGAAAGGAAGCUUCGGCCUCCGCAUUGGGAUGAGUCCGCGGCGCAUUAGCUUGUUGGUGGGGUAAUGGCCCACCAAGGCGACGAUGCGUAGCUGGUCUGAGAGGACGAUCAGCCACACUGGAACUGAGACACGGUCCAGACUCCUACGGGAGGCAGCAGUGGGGAAUCUUGCGCAAUGCACGAAAGUGUGACGCAGCAACGCCGCGUGCGGGAAGAAGGUCUUCGGAUCGUAAACCGCUUUCAGUUGGGACGAGGGUCAGCUGGUGAAUAGCCAGUCUGACUGACGGUACCUUCAGAAGAAGCCCCGGCUAACUACGUGCCAGCCGCCGCGGUAA
Molecule: ribosomal RNA, 495 nt
Filed under: uncultured bacterium
Lineage: Bacteria
Description: partial 16S ribosomal RNA
Rfam family: Bacterial small subunit ribosomal RNA
Source: RNAcentral